This is a long non-coding RNA of Pomacea canaliculata, 544 nucleotides long. RefSeq lists it as uncharacterized. The record is from RefSeq and is a predicted model, not a curated record. NCBI's taxonomy places the organism in Eukaryota, Metazoa, Mollusca, Gastropoda, Architaenioglossa, Ampullariidae. The transcript is spliced from 3 exons.
UGCCACUGCCACAGGAUGCAGUGUAAUGGGGGAAACAGAAGAUACUGUGUUGACAGCUGACAUGGAUUUGUUUGUCGCUCAAAGAACCAAUGUGCCCGGAUGUUUCGAUACUAAAAAGCUGGUGGCUGUUCAUCAAUACCGACCAAGUUCACAGUUGUCAUCUCUACCACUCUGCCUUCCACCUGACCAUGACACGCACCACUGACUCAAUCGAAAGGGCCGCUGGUACCAAAUCACCAUGAAGGAAAAUGAGUCUUAGCCACUGGCGAGGAACUUUGCUUCCUCGAUGGCCGAGAGGACGAGUGGAUCCGUGUGACGUGCACCUUCAACAAAAACGUCAUCAGAGACACAGUCUGCCAGGUCCACCGUAACGGUCCUCUGUUUGAUGUUCCCCUCAAGCCGAAUUCAAAACCAUUCUCCAUCCUCUGCCUCCGAGAAGAUUACAACACUAGCAAAACGAAUGAAGUUGGUUAUUGCAUAUGUGUAGAGUCACGUGAUGGGAAUUCUGCAUGUACAUUAACGUUGAACACAACUCAGCUAGAAA